GACGAACGCUGGCGGCGUGCUUAACACAUGCAAGUCGAACGGAAAGGCCCUGCUUUUGUGGGGUGCUCGAGUGGCGAACGGGUGAGUAACACGUGAGUAACCUGCCCUUGACUUUGGGAUAACUUCAGGAAACUGGGGCUAAUACCGGAUAGGAGCUCCUGCUGCAUGGUGGGGGUUGGAAAGUUUCGGCGGUUGGGGAUGGACUCGCGGCUUAUCAGCUUGUUGGUGGGGUAGUGGCUUACCAAGGCUUUGACGGGUAGCCGGCCUGAGAGGGUGACCGGCGACAUUGGGACUACGGUACGGCCCAGACGCCUACGGGAGGCAGCAGGGGGGAAUAUUGCACAAUGGGCGGAAGCCUGAUGCAGCAACGCCGCGUGCGGGAUGACGGCCUUCGGGUUGUAAACCGCUUUCGCCUGUGACGAAGCGUGAGUGACGGUAAUGGGUAAAGAAGCACCGGCUAACUACGUG
RNAcentral lists this ribosomal RNA (468 nucleotides) under uncultured bacterium. RNAcentral's name for it is "partial 16S ribosomal RNA". It matches the Rfam family "Bacterial small subunit ribosomal RNA", at positions 28 to 507 of the family's 1533-position model. The record is from RNAcentral.